UCUAUGUUGGAUAGCUUCUGCUAUAGAGUAUUGACUUCUAGUUUUUGGUUCAAAGGAAGUUUUUUUUUUUUUUUUGCCUUCUGCCUUUUUGUUAAAUUAAAUCCUUUUGGUUUUCUGCACUUUGGUCCACCUCCCUUGUUUUUCCACAACCGUGACAGAAACAGCUCUGCCUGGUCCUACGCCCAGUCUGUUGUCAGUUUGUUCACAUAAUAAAGAGCUGUAAAGGUUACUGCAUCAGUUAUUCCUGAGGUGGUGCAGAGUUACAGAUUAUGGGCUGUAAACUAGGCAAUGAUGGUAGAGUCAACUGAUUAAACGGUAGACACUUGGAAUAAUGCGUGCGACGCUAAGCAGCGCAACGGGAAUGAGUGCCAUCAGUUGGGUCUCGAUCAGUUGGCUGCCUUGCCUGUUUGACAAGCUGCAGCUCUGUCACUAACCCUAACAGAUGUGAACAUGCUAACACCUGAUUUUCCACCUUCUCCGUGCACGAGCGGCCUGUCAGAGUCACGCUUUGCCUCACUGGCUCUGUCUCUGGAACAUGAGCAGCUGUACUCACAUCACUGGAGAACUACACGAUCAUGUUGGAAUCAAGAGAAAAGAGUGCCUACAACAUGUUACUUUCUCUUUCCGUGGUUGAUUUGUUUUUUGUUUGUUGCCUGUCUUGUCCUAAAGUUGAUAUAAAGUGAUGAAAAAUUCAA
This is a non-coding RNA of Labrus bergylta (ballan wrasse), 695 nucleotides long. The record is from RefSeq and is a predicted model, not a curated record. Lineage: Eukaryota; Metazoa; Chordata; Actinopteri; Labriformes; Labridae.